This 523-nucleotide ribosomal RNA is filed under the name vouchered mycorrhizae (Glomus). RNAcentral's name for it is "SSU rRNA". It matches the Rfam family "Eukaryotic small subunit ribosomal RNA", at positions 557 to 1078 of the family's 1831-position model. The record is from RNAcentral. Lineage: Eukaryota; Fungi; Glomeromycota; Glomeromycetes; Glomerales; Glomeraceae.
CAGUCUGGUGCCAGCAAGCCGCGGUAAUUCCAGCUCCCAAUAGCGUAUAUUAAAGUUGUUGCAGUUAAAAAGCUCGUAGUUGAAUUUCGGGGUUAGUAGGUUGGUCAUGCCUCUGGUAUGUACUGGUCUCACUGACUCCUCCCUUCCUGAUGAGCCGUAAUGCCAUUAAUUUGGUGUUGCGGGGAAUUUGGACUGUUACUUUGAAAAAAUUAGAGUGUUUAAAGCAAGCUGACGCUUGAAUACAUUAGCAUGGAAUAAUGAAAUAGGACGUUCGAUCCUAUUUUGUUGGUUUCUAGGAUUGACGUAAUGAUUAAUAGGGAUAGUUGGGGGCAUUAGUAUUCAAUUGUCAGAGGUGAAAUUCUUGGAUUUAUUGAAGACUAACUACUGCGAAAGCAUUUGCCAAGGAUGUUUUCAUUAAUCAAGAACGAAAGUUAGGGGAUCGAAGACGAUCAGAUACCGUCGUAGUCUUAACCAUAAACUAUGCCGACUAGGGAUCGGAUGAUGUUAAUUUUUUAAUGACUCA